This 71-nucleotide transfer RNA is filed under the name Actinomycetota bacterium. Its description in RNAcentral is "tRNA-Gly". It matches the Rfam family "tRNA". Rfam says of the family: Transfer RNA (tRNA) molecules are approximately 80 nucleotides in length. Their secondary structure includes four short double-helical elements and three loops (D, anti-codon, and T loops). The record is from RNAcentral. Lineage: Bacteria; Bacillati; Actinomycetota. RNAcentral also lists the same sequence under 1 other name.
GCGGGUGUGGUGUAACGGCUGCACAAAGCCCUUCCAAGGCUUUAGUACGGGUUCGAGUCCCGUCACCCGCU